This 29-nucleotide non-coding RNA is filed under the name Mus musculus (house mouse). Lineage: Eukaryota; Metazoa; Chordata; Mammalia; Rodentia; Muridae. The record is from RNAcentral.
UUGCAUAAACGCUCCUCUAGCCUCGUGGA